RNAcentral lists this unclassified non-coding RNA (939 nucleotides) under Hevea brasiliensis (rubber tree). The record is from RNAcentral. Lineage: Eukaryota; Viridiplantae; Streptophyta; Magnoliopsida; Malpighiales; Euphorbiaceae.
AAAGGCUUAGUUGAGUUAAGUUGAUGCUCUAGCCUUUAGCCUUAAAAAGGAAUAGUGAUCCUUAUCCUUGCUCAGCCAACUAGGCCUUGCCUUCAUUGUUCUUGUCCGAGUACAACCAACUAGACAAUGACUUAGGUUGACUCAAACAAAGUUGCCCCAGUGCAUCCUUGUCCAUGGUAGUCGAAGAAAGCACUCUUUACUUGCUAAGAUGCUAUCCUUUUUGACAAUUGAAAUCUCAUAAGUAGUCACAUGCAACCUUGGAUGUAUGAUUUAGAAGUCAUUUCAACAAAAAAAGUAUCGAGUAAAUGAGGCAAGUGCCUCAAUCCAAGGACUCACCUAGGAAAUGCCAAGGUGAAGCUGCCAUACCUGGACCAAGGAUAGGUCCUUAGACUGUGCCUGACUUGCCUUUGAUCACAUUGCUCCUAACUUCGUUUGAAUAGGCAGGGCUCAAGUGUGUGUCUCACUUUAAGAGUCUUAUUUUAAUGGGACCUCUAUUAAUGACUCAGAAGACUUUUAAUAGUCUAAUCUUUUAAAGUUUUAUAUUUGAAGUACAUCCUAGAUAACCCUAUAUAUCCAUGUAACCUCUUUUGGUCAUUCAUGAUUAUAGGUAUAGCUUUUUGAAAAGGAAUAAAUAUGGUUUUUACCAUGACUUCGCAAUGUAUUCGCAAUGUCUCUUCAAACUUCAAAAGUAUAUGACUAAAUCCUUCAACUUCAUUUUUGUUCAAUGGUAGCCUUUAUCAUUAUUCAUUAGUGCAAUCUAAUUACAUUAGCACGGCAAUUGAGAUUCUGCCACGACUCAAAUUUAGGGCCCAAGAACAGAAUGGAUUGAAUUAAGUAAUAUAAGGUUGUAAAACAAAAUAUUAAAUUUUAAGUAAUUAAUAUCAUAAAUUUUAAAUUGAAGGAGACAGUGCAAAAAUAUUAUAUUUUGGGCACUAAAAU